CCUACGGGUGGCAGCAGUGGGGAAUAUUGGGCAAUGGAGGAAACUCUGACCCAGCAACGCCGCGUGAAUGAUGAAGGUCUUCGGAUUGUAAAGUUCUUUUCUAAGGGAAGAAGAAAGUGACGGUACCUUAGGAAUAAGCCUCGGCUAACUACGUGCCAGCAGCCGCGGUAAUACGUAGGAGGCGAGCGUUAUCCGGAAUGACUGGGCGUAAAGAGUUCGUAGGCGGCAUGUAAAGUCAGGUGUUAAAGGCGCAGGCUCAACCUGUGUAUGGCACUUGAUACUUGCAAGCUGGAAUGCGGUAGAGGUAAAGGGAAUUCCUGGUGUAGCGGUGAAAUGCUUAGAUAUCAGGAGGAACAUCGGUGGCGUAAGCGCUUUACUGGGCCGUAAUUGACGCUGAGGAACGAAAGCCAGGGUAGCAAAUGGGAUUAGAUACCCCAGUAGUC
Molecule: ribosomal RNA, 443 nt
Filed under: uncultured bacterium
Lineage: Bacteria
Description: partial 16S ribosomal RNA
Rfam family: Bacterial small subunit ribosomal RNA
Source: RNAcentral